AAGGGAGACCUAAUUCGGGUAGAAGACGAAAAAAUAGUAGUCGAAACCAAGAAUCAAUCCCAAAAGGUCGGAACGAGGUAUGUGGCUUUCAAACUAGGUUCUGGGUUCACAAAAGACCUGAAUCAGGAACAAGGGCUAUUAGCUCAGGUGGUUAGAGCGCACCCCUGAUAAGGGUGAGGUCCCUGGUUCGAGUCCAGGAUGGCCCACCUGCACAGGUGGCAAAAACAAGAGAAACGAGGAAUCAGCACCUUAUCUUACUUACAUAGUAAGAGAGAAUGCUGGCUCUGGGUAAAGAGUCCAGAGGAACCUUGAAAACUGCAUAGAGCUAGGUGAAAAAGCCAAAAAAGAAGACCGCAA
RNAcentral lists this transfer RNA (357 nucleotides) under uncultured Microcystis sp. RNAcentral's name for it is "partial 16S-23S ribosomal RNA intergenic spacer". The stretch from base 133 to 206 matches the Rfam family "tRNA". Lineage: Bacteria; Bacillati; Cyanobacteriota; Cyanophyceae; Chroococcales; Microcystaceae. The record is from RNAcentral.